GAUAUCCCCGGAGGCCAGUUUGUUUGUCUUACUCUAAUAUUCAGGACCAAGAGGUACUGGAUUCUCUUUCGGAUAGGCCCUGAAAGGAGAAGAAAUGCUAAAAUGCCAAUGGACCUCUGUCUAUUCUCUAAUUCACCCGAUCCGACAGUACCCAUUUUUGGAAUGUCCAAUGCCAAAUUCACUGAAUGGGUAUGUCACCAAUCCACUCUCCGGGAACGGUAUCCAGCCUUAUACUGCAUUGUACGCGAUAGCGAUGUACUCUUGCACACAUGCUCAACUCUACCCCGCCAGAUGUAUCAUUUAAGAGGGACUUGA
This 315-nucleotide ribosomal RNA is filed under the name Triticum aestivum (bread wheat). RNAcentral describes it as "partial small subunit ribosomal RNA". Lineage: Eukaryota; Viridiplantae; Streptophyta; Magnoliopsida; Poales; Poaceae. The record is from RNAcentral.